RNAcentral lists this ribosomal RNA (207 nucleotides) under uncultured bacterium. RNAcentral describes it as "partial 16S ribosomal RNA". It matches the Rfam family "Bacterial small subunit ribosomal RNA", at positions 568 to 774 of the family's 1533-position model. The record is from RNAcentral.
CGCGUAGGCGGCCUCUCAAGCGGGAUCUCUAAUCCGAGGGCUCAACCCCCGGCCCGGAUCCCGAACUGGGAGGCUCGAGUUCGGUAGAGGCAGGCGGAAUUCCCGGUGUAGCGGUGGAAUGCGCAGAUAUCGGGAAGAACACCGAUGGCGAAGGCAGCCUGCUGGGCCGCAACUGACGCUGAGGCGCGAAAGCUAGGGGAGCGAACA